UACGUAGGGUCCGAGCGUUUGUCCGGAAUUACUGGGCGUAAAGAGCUCGUAGGUGGUUUGUCGCGUUGUUCGUGAAAACUCACACUUAACUGUGGGCGUGCGGGCGAUACGGGCAGACUUGAGUACUGCAGGGGAGACUGGAAUUCUGGUGUAGCGGUGAAAAUGCGUAGAUAUCGGGAAGAACGCCAAGGGCGAAGGCACUCUGCUAGGCCUGAUUUCGUGACUGGACAACUCAGGGACGAGAGCCAGGGGAGCGAAUGGG
Molecule: ribosomal RNA, 262 nt
Filed under: uncultured bacterium
Lineage: Bacteria
Description: partial 16S ribosomal RNA
Rfam family: Bacterial small subunit ribosomal RNA
Source: RNAcentral